RNAcentral lists this long non-coding RNA (708 nucleotides) under Trifolium pratense (red clover). RNAcentral describes it as "long non-coding RNA (TPRA_LNC009058)". Lineage: Eukaryota; Viridiplantae; Streptophyta; Magnoliopsida; Fabales; Fabaceae. The record is from RNAcentral.
UAUCAUACACUUAAAACCAUGAUGCAUAUGAAAUGUAUAUUACUAUAGUAUCAUUAAUACAUGUAUAUUUGAGAAUGGAAAACCGAAGUCGAAAUUGCAAAAGAUGGAACAAGUCCAGAUUUGGGAUAUCACUUUAAUACCGCAAGAAUGAUCAUGGCAAUUAUUAAUUUAUCACAAAUUUCUUUCACAAAAGAAAAUUCACUACAUAGGAAUUUCGAUUGAAACACAAUAUUGGAGAGUAAUCCCAAAUAAACUUAACAAUUAGCAUGCACUUUUUAUAGUAAAGACUCCAAAAGAAAUAGUAUGUUGUACAUCACACUAUAUGAAGCAAACCAUUUUCGAUCAAUCACUUAACACAAUUGCUAAAAUCCUUAAUUCAUGAUUCAAAAGAUGGUUUCAUCUUGUGAAGAUCCCAGAAGAAAAUAAUUAUAAGGUGUUGUGUAUAAAUUGAAAAUACAAACUAUCGUCAAUUUGACGAAACUGAAUAAUGAUACGGUCAAUCUCUGGAAAACAAAACAAGCCGAAGAAACUUAACAACAGAGGAAAAAUUGUUUUCUCAAACCGUAUAAAGUCCAUGACCAAUAAGUAAAGGGCUUUACUUCACAAAACUAGAAAGGAUAGCUAUAAUAUAAUAAUGAAAACCCAAGCAAAUUUACAGUUCCCCACAACCAAAAUGUAUAAUUCUCUUCUCGUAAAAAAAAAAAAAAA